UACGGAGGGUGCAAGCGUUAAUCGGAAUUACUGGGCGUAAAGCGCACGCAGGUGGCUGAGUCAGUCGAUUGUGAAAUCCCCGGGCUUAACCUGGGAACUGCAUUGGUGACUGCAGGGCUAGAGUGUGUCAGAGGGAGGUGGAAUUCCGCGUGUAGCAGUGAAAUGCGUAGAGAUGCGGAGGAACACCGAUGGCGAAGGCAGCCUCCUGGGAUAACACUGACGCUCAGGCACGAAAGCGUGGGGAGCAAACAGG
Molecule: ribosomal RNA, 253 nt
Filed under: uncultured bacterium
Lineage: Bacteria
Description: partial 16S ribosomal RNA
Rfam family: Bacterial small subunit ribosomal RNA
Source: RNAcentral